This 330-nucleotide ribosomal RNA is filed under the name uncultured bacterium. Its description in RNAcentral is "bacterial SSU rRNA". It matches the Rfam family "Bacterial small subunit ribosomal RNA", at positions 568 to 898 of the family's 1533-position model. The record is from RNAcentral.
UUCGUAGGCGGUGCGGCAAGUCGGGAGUGAAAUCUCUGGGCUUAACUCAGGGGCUGCUUCUGAAACUGCCGUGCUCGAGUGCGGGAGAGGCGAGUGGAAUUGCAGGUGUAGCGGUGAAAUGCGUAGAUAUCUGCAGGAACACCCGUGGCGAAGGCGGCUCGCUGGACCGCAACUGACGCUGAGGAACGAAAGCUAGGGGAGCAAACAGGAUUAGAUACCCUGGUAGUCCUAGCCCUAAACCAUCAGGACUUGGGGUGCAUCCCGUUCGGGGUGCGUCCCGGAGCUAACGCGUUAAGUCCUGCGCCUGGGGAGUACGGUCGCAAGGCUGAA